AUUGAACGCUGGCGGCAUGCCUUACACAUGCAAGUCGAACGGCAGCACGGGUGCUUGCACCUGGUGGCGAGUGGCGAACGGGUGAGUAAUACAUCGGAACAUGUCCUGUAGUGGGGGAUAGCCCGGCGAAAGCCGGAUUAAUACCGCAUACGAUCUACGGAUGAAAGCGGGGGACCUUCGGGCCUCGCGCUAUAGGGUUGGCCGAUGGCUGAUUAGCUAGUUGGUGGGGUAAAGGCCUACCAAGGCGACGAUCAGUAGCUGGUCUGAGAGGACGACCAGCCACAGUGGGACUGGGACACGGCCAAGACCCCUAGGGGGGGCAGAGGGGGGGAAUUUUGGAAAAGGGGGGAAAGCCUGACCCAGAAAUGCCGGGGGUGUGAAGAAGGCCUUCGGGUUGUAAAGCACUUUUGGCCGGAAAAAAAUCCUGGGCCCUAAAAGGGGCGGGGGAUGACGGUACCGGAAGAAUAAGCACCGGCAAACUAGGU
This 485-nucleotide ribosomal RNA is filed under the name uncultured bacterium. RNAcentral's name for it is "partial 16S ribosomal RNA". It matches the Rfam family "Bacterial small subunit ribosomal RNA", at positions 29 to 506 of the family's 1533-position model. The record is from RNAcentral.